This 779-nucleotide ribosomal RNA is filed under the name uncultured bacterium. RNAcentral's name for it is "bacterial SSU rRNA". It matches the Rfam family "Bacterial small subunit ribosomal RNA", at positions 62 to 832 of the family's 1533-position model. The record is from RNAcentral.
UCGAGGGGCAGCGGGUAGGUGAGCUUGCUCAUUUAUGCCGGCGACCGGCGCACGGGUGAGUAACACGUAUGCAACCUGCCCGUCUCAGGGGGAUAAUCGUCGGAAACGGCGUCUAAUACCCCGUAUGAAGCUGGACGGCAUCGUCUGGUUUUGAAAGAAUAUCGGAGACGGAUGGGCAUGCGGCGCAUUAGCUAGUUGGCGGGGUAACGGCCCACCAAGGCGACGAUGCGUAGGGGUUCUGAGAGGAAGGUCCCCCACACUGGUACUGAGACACGGACCAGACUCCUACGGGAGGCAGCAGUGAGGAAUAUUGGUCAAUGGGCGAGAGCCUGAACCAGCCAAGUCGCGUGAGGGAGUACUGCCCUAUGGGUUGUAAACCUCUUUUGUCGGGGAGCAAAAGCCGGACGUGUCCGUCUGUGAGAGUACCCGAAGAAAAAGCAUCGGCUAACUCCGUGCCAGCAGCCGCGGUAAUACGGAGGAUGCGAGCGUUAUCCGGAUUUAUUGGGUUUAAAGGGUGCGCAGGCGGAUUUUUAAGUCAGCGGUCAAAUCGUGGGGCUCAACCCCAUCCAGCCGUUGAAACUGGGGAUCUAGAGUGUGCGAGAGGUAUGCGGAAUGCGUGGUGUAGCGGUGAAAUGCAUAGAUAUCACGCAGAACCCCGAUUGCGAAGGCAGCAUACCGGUGCACAACUGACGCUCAGGCACGAAAGCGUGGGUAUCGAACAGGAUUAGAUACCCUGGUAGUCCACGCAGUAAACGAUGAAUGCUACCUGUUUGGCCAGA